RNAcentral lists this ribosomal RNA (403 nucleotides) under uncultured bacterium. RNAcentral's name for it is "partial 16S ribosomal RNA". It matches the Rfam family "Bacterial small subunit ribosomal RNA", at positions 28 to 526 of the family's 1533-position model. The record is from RNAcentral.
GACGAACGCUGGCGGCGUGCCUAAUACAUGCAAGUCGAACGCAGUGGGGACGGGUGAGUAACACGUGGGUAACCUCCCAUCAGAGGGGAUAACACUUGGAAACAGGUGCUAAACCGAUACUGAUGGAUGGACCCGCGGUGCAUUAGCUAGUUGGUGAGGUAACGGCUCACCAAGGCCACGAUGCAUAGGCGACCUGAGGGGGUGAUCGGCCACACUGGGGCUGGGACACGGCCCAUACUCCCUCGGGAGGCAGGAGUAGGGAAUCUUCGGCAAUGGACGGAAGUCUUACCGGAGAACGGCGCGUGAGUGAAGGAGGUUUUCGGGUCGUAAAACUCUGUUGUUAGAGGAGCGGUAUCUAACCAGAAAGCCACCGGUAACUACGGGCCAGCCGCCGGGGUAAUAC